UAGGGAAUCUUCCACAAUGGACGCAAGUCUGAUGGAGCAACGCCGCGUGAGUGAAGAAGGGUUUCGGCUCGUAAAGCUCUGUUGUUAAAGAAGAACGUGGGUAAGAGUAACUGUUUACCCAGUGACGGUAUUUAACCAGAAAGCCACGGCUAACUACGUGACAG
RNAcentral lists this ribosomal RNA (164 nucleotides) under uncultured bacterium. RNAcentral's name for it is "partial 16S ribosomal RNA". It matches the Rfam family "Bacterial small subunit ribosomal RNA", at positions 355 to 511 of the family's 1533-position model. The record is from RNAcentral.